RNAcentral lists this unclassified non-coding RNA (253 nucleotides) under uncultured Chloroflexota bacterium. Its description in RNAcentral is "uncultured Chloroflexi bacterium contains 16S-23S intergenic spacer region". It matches the Rfam family "Bacterial small subunit ribosomal RNA", at positions 524 to 776 of the family's 1533-position model. The record is from RNAcentral. Lineage: Bacteria; Bacillati; Chloroflexota.
UACGUAGGGGGCGAGCGUUGUCCGGAUUUAUUGGGCGUAAAGGGCGUGUAGGCGGCCGCGCAAGUCGUGUGUGAAAUCUCCCGGCUCAACUGGGAGGGGCCGCACGAGACUGCGGGGCUGGAGGCCGGUAGGGGGAAGCGGAAUUCCCGGUGUAGUGGUGGAAUGCGUAGAGAUCGGGAGGAACACCAGUGGCGAAGGCGGCUUCCUGGACCGGGCCUGACGCUGAGGCGCGAAAGCGUGGGGAGCGAUCCGG